Molecule: long non-coding RNA, 790 nt
Filed under: Homo sapiens (human)
Lineage: Eukaryota; Metazoa; Chordata; Mammalia; Primates; Hominidae
Description: HSALNT0335934
Source: RNAcentral
GCGGGCGGAGCCCGGCGCCGCGGCCAGGAUUUCCCACCUCGCUCCCGCGACUCCGCUGCGGGUCUGCACACCCGAGGACUCGGUUUGAAACGCCCGCUUAUUUAUUUUCUUGUCGCCUCGCUACAAGAUUCUAUCCUUGUUUGGGCAUGAGUGGGGGGCGGCAGUCUCGUGGGACCGGCGGCAUUCGUCGUUCCUCCUUACGGGGAUAAUUCGAGAAGUGCGGUCCGGGGGUACUUAACCGAAACUAGCAAUCCCAGGCGGUACAAGGCCCUCCAUCGUAGGCAAAGCACUACCUGAAUGUAGAUUUGGGCCAUACGUUGGAAAAUAAGACAUGAGAGUAUGCUCCGAUCAACUUUUACUGUUCACUGGACAACUAUUUUGGGAAUUUGCAGACCUAUAAAGCCCAUCUAUAAAUCUCAAGCAUGUCCACUUUCAGAGAAGAGAAAUGCUGACAACCAUUUAGUCUCUGAGGACAACACUUUUAAAGUGUAACAAUGUGGCAUCCAGAGCUUAUCCAGAUGAGCGGAGAGCAAAUGAAUUUCCUUCUGCUCCCCUGUUGAAGAGGAGAGAAAAAUUCUUCAAGCUCACCUGUUCUUCUCAUCGCUGGACCUAUAAAGUGGCAUUAAUCAUCAAGAGUCCAGCAGAAUUGGGAAAGUCAUGUAUGCUGCAAAGUACAUUCCAAAGUCUUAAAAUAUUCUUGUCUUAUCCACUGUUGUUUAUUUGUUUACUUAUUUUUAAACAAACAUCUGUUUGAAAGAGGGAGUGCUAACUGUGUGUUCUGGUAUCCCUU